Molecule: long non-coding RNA, 25144 nt
Filed under: Capsicum annuum
Lineage: Eukaryota; Viridiplantae; Streptophyta; Magnoliopsida; Solanales; Solanaceae
Description: long non-coding RNA (CANN_LNC008943)
Source: RNAcentral
UAAACUAGAUCAUAACAAUUCAUCUUGUCUAUAAAUAGAAGAGGUUAGCAAGAAGGAUACACAAAUCAUCAAAACAAAUUAAUAUCCCUAAAGAUGAAGACCAUAUUACUCUUUCUUUUCCUUGAAAUAAUAUUCCUUCCCUUGUCAGCCUUGGCAACUCCCAACAACCAAGUAUUGAUAGAUGUACUCGAUACUAAUGGUAAUCCCCUCAACAAAAGCAAUAGGUACUGGAUAACUCCAGCCUACACCACUAUGGACGGUGGAGGCAUACGUGUUGCUAAUCUUGAUAGUGAUCUACAACAAAUCACUAUGUGUCCUACAUCAGUAGUACAAUCCCACCUUCCUACAGACGAUGGUAUCGCAGUUUAUUUUACACCUAAGAAUCCAAAACAUCAAAAUAUUGUGGAGUCCACUCCGGUAAACAUCCAUUUCUAUUUUGAUUAUCCUUUGUGUUCUAACCUAAAUGCAUGGAAGGUUGACAAUCUUGUAUCAGAAUUUCUGCCAAUUCUACACACCAUAAGCACAGGUGCAAAGGAUGAGAGCAGUUGGUUCCAAAUUAAGCCUACAACAAAUAGAAAGUAUAAGCUAGUGUUCUGUCUCUUUGACACUUAUUGCCAAGACAUUGGCGUCGUCUCACAAAGUGGUUAUCAUCGUUUGGUUCUCUCGGACAACCCAAAGCCCUUUGUGUUCAAACUGGAUGAUAGAAUUGGAAUGGCAGCAGAAGUAUGAUCUUGUCAUGUUAUGCCUAGAUCUACUCUAUGUAAUGUAUAAUAAUAAUGCAUGCAGGAACUUUGUCCCAUUGCAUGGAUGUAAAACUUGAUAAUAAUGUAAUGGGGGUCUGACUAUGUGCCCCUUAUAUAUGAUCACAUGAUAUAUAUUAUGUAUUGAUAAGGAUAUCAUAAAAGACUCUGGUUCCUUCCUUGAGAAGUCUCUUUAGUCCUCUAUGAUUUCAAAGAAUUAAUUAAGGCACAUAAGAAUAAGUACAGAGCCUGGAUCAAUAAACAUCGUAAAUGCUCAAUGACCAACUGGGAAAAUACAUGCAAUGACCUGUUCGACAACUAACUAUGAAAAUCAUGUAGUCAUAUAUACGAUCACUUUUUUCAAGAUACUAUUAUUACUAUAUUAAAAGUCGCUGCGAUUAAACAUUAGUACUAAAUAACUAUUCUCAGUUGUCAAUUUGGAAUAAAACAUCACUUGCUUCUUACCAUUUUGGCCAGUCAUUUUUUUGUCGACAUUCUGUGACAGAUUGAUGUACAUGAUCCCCACUAUCUUGCAAGAUUUUCGUUGCAACAUUAUAUGCGAAGACAUAAUCCACUACUAUUUCAGAUCUAUUCAAAUUAGUUUCAACAUCACUUGAAUUUAUGGAUAGUUUCUCAUUUUCUUGAGUCUCAGGCUCAUUAAUUCCUUCAAGAAUAUCAACAUUGCUCAAAUCUUGAACUUUCAUAUGAGGAUCUUUCAUAGUGUCAUCUUGACCAUUUGUUUUUCUUUUUCUAGGAUUUCGAUCCUUAGAACCUAAUGGUACACCAGGCUUCAAGCGCGCUUUAGAUUCAUUAGCUAUGACACUAAUGGAUGGUCCUUUAGGGACAUCAAUUCAAAUUGAGAAAUAUUCUGCAGGAAUAUGUGAUUUAGUGAUCCUUUUCAAAUCUGUAAAUGCGUUUGACAUUUGAUUUGCAAUUUUCUGCAGAUGAAUAAUCUUUUGUACUUCUUGUCCACAAAUAGAAGCAUGUGAUUAAGUUUAGAUAGUGAUGGAUUUUUUCACAAAAUUUCUCUUUUGAUGUCAUUAUUUUCUCCCCCCAAUUUUUGGAAAACUAUUUCAUCAAACCGAUAAUCUGCAAAUCGAGCCGUGAACAUAUCUACCAUUAAUGGUUAAAGAUAGUAAAUAAUGGAGGGUGAUUCAAACCCAACAUAAGUUUCUAACCUUCUUUGAAGGCCCAUUUUGGUGCGAUUUAGUUAUUCUAUAGGCACAUAUACACCGUAUCCAAAAAUUCUCUGAUGAGAUAUAUUAGGCUCUUGAUCAAAAAACAAUUGCAACGGAGAAAAUUUAUGAUAAUUUGUCGGUCUAAGACGAACAAGUGUUGCAGCAUGCAAAAUUGCACGACCCUAAACAAAGUGGACAACUUGGUUUUCAUAAGCAAUUGUCUUGCUAUCAACUGCAGACGUUUAAUUAAUGACUCGACAAGGCCAUUUUAAGUGUGAACAUGGGGUACAGAAUGUUCGACUCUUAUUCCAAUCGAUAAACAAUAGUCAUUAAAUGCUUGGAAUGAAAAUUAUGUGGCAUUAUCAAGGCGUAUAGACUUAAUUUGAUUAUGAGGAAACUGUGCCCGUAAUCGUAUUAUUUGUGCCAACAAUUUUGCAAAUGCCAAGUUGCGAGAUGACAAUAGGUGCACAUGAGAACAUUUAGAAGAAGCAUCUAUUAGGACCAUAAAGUAUCUAAACGACCCACUAGGUGGGUGAAUGGGUCCAUAAAUAUCCCCAUGUAUGCGUUCCAAGAAUGCGGGGGACUCAAUCCCAACUUUUGUUGGCGAUGGACUCACAAUUAUCUUGCCUUGAUAAUAAGCAUUACACGAAAAUUCAACAUUCGAAAUAACCUUCAAGUUUUUUAAUGGAUGCCCAUUUGAAUUUUCUAUGAUUCGCUUCAUCAUUAUAGAUCUAGUAUGUCCCAGAUGAUCAUGUCAAAGUACGAAAGUAUUGGAAUUAGUAAACUUCUUGUUUACUAUAGACUGUGUCUCAAUUGCACAAAUCUUUAGCCAAUAUAGGUCAGAAGAUAAAGCAGGAAACUUUUCUAUAACACAUGUUUGCCAAGAGACAUUCUUGGUGAUACAAAGAUAUUCAAGAUUCAUCUCAUCAAUUGUCUUGAUAUGAUAACCAUUUUCAUGGAUAUCUUUAAAAUUCAUUAAGUUUCUCCGAGACUUAGGAGAAAACAUAACAUUAUUUAUGAUGAGUUUAGCUCCCUUGGGCAAAAUUAUAAUGGAUUUUUCGAAGACUUCAAUCAAAUUAGCACUACCAAAAAUUGUAGUAAUAAUAAUCUUGACCAUGUUUAGAUGAGAGAAAUAUUUUUUGUCUCUGAAUAACGUAUGUGUAGUGCCAGAAUCAAUCAAACAAAUAUCUUCACAAUUGGACAGGUUAUUUUGAAAAUUAUCCGUAUCUUCAAGUACAAUAACAUACACCAAGUUAAAUAUAUAUUAAAUCUUUGUACAAAGAGAAAGAUUAUACUAUAAGGAAUUGUUAAUCACACUUUACUAAGCAAUUAAAGAGAAUAUGUUCAAUUAGUGUGUGCUUAGCUUAGCUUAACAUUUUAUUUUUCAAUAGAAAGAAGAAAAAAAUGCAUUGUAUUUUUCAAUAAUUAAAAAAAAAAAAAAGAAUAAAAACACGUAUCUAUGGAACCAACAAUCAAUUCACUAAUAAACAAUAAUAACUUGCAUGGGCCACCAAUCAAGUCUCUUUUUUUUUCUGUUUUCUUUUUCUUUUGUAGCGCCUAUCAUUUGCUUUACUUAAUGUAUCGUCCAAAUUUUUUUUUUUUUUUUUUUUCAGCACCUACCAUUUGCUUUAAAUAAUGUAUCAUUUGUUCCUUUCUUUUUUGUCAAUAAAUAAUGAAAAAAUUGAAAUUCAAUUUAAUGCAAUAAUAAACCACAAUAAUAAAAUUAAACUAAUUAAUAUUAAUCAAAAUCUAAUACUCAUGCAAACAACUACUUUUACAUGAUUUUUAUUCACUAACUCUUAUUAAUAGUAAAAAAAAUAAAUUAAAAAUUAUUCAUUCUUCCAUGUUUACGAAACUGUCACCAAUCAAGUGAUCAAUUUCUUUCUACAUCCAACCAUGUGAUGUCAACAUUAUUUUCAGUGAGAAAGUUAGCUCGAAAUUUCUUUCUUUUUCUUUAGUGAUGCUAGAUAAAGAUCAACCAAGUGCUUGAGAGCACGACAAUCACGUGAAUAAUGUCCUUUUUCACCACAUCAAAAAUAAGUAAUUGUUUCACGUUUCUCAUCUUUUUUUUUGUUCAACCAAUGAUUAACACCCGGAAUAGAAUUUCUUUCUUGGUCAUCACGACCACGACCACGACCAUAACCACGACCACGUCUAGGGUCGCGACCUUUUCCACGCCUAGCAUGGUAAGCAUGCAUAUCAUUCACCUCAGGGAAUGGUGCAGAUACAGUAAGUGGAUUCUUGUAAUUUUUCGUCAAAAAAUUAUUAUUUUAUUCAGCCACGAGAAGAUGAGAACUCAGUUCAGUAUAUUUCUUGAAACCUUUUUCUCGAUAUUGCUUCUGUGAUAGUAUAUUCGAGGUAUGAAAGUGGAGAGCGUCUUUUCCAUCAUAUCGUCAUCAUUGACCGUCCCUCCACAUAGUUUCAAUUAAGAAAAAAUUCUGAACAUGGCAGAAUUGUACUCAUGAACAGACUUAUAGUCUUGAAACCUUAGAUGCAUUCAUUCAUAUUGUGAUUUUGGGAGGAUGACCAUCUUUAAGUGGUCAAGCCUUUCUUUUAGGAUAUUCCACAAUACGAGUGGAUCCUUAGUAGUAAGGUAUUCCAUUUUUAGAAUUUCGUCAAGAUGAUGAUGGAAUAAAAUCAUAGCAUUAGCACGAUUUUGACUAGAUGCUGUAAUUUCUUUCUUUAUGGUGUCUCCAACACCCAUAACAUCUAGGUGGAUAUCAACAUCCAGCACCCAUGAAAUAUAGUUCUUGCCCGAACAUUGAAGUGUAACGAACUCACACUUAGUAAGAUUAUUAGACAUACGAAAAAGGGAAGAAAAAUAAUACCUUAGCCUUUAACUUUGAGAUGGUGGAGUCUUGUGCUGAUAACAUUUUAUGAAAUAACAAAGAAUAAAGAACAAGAGUAUAGAGAGAAGAGAGAGUAAUUGUUAAUUCUCUUGAGGAUGAUUUAAAAUGAAGGAAUUCCUUCUAUUUAUAGGGAAAAUUUGCUCCUAUUUUCACACUAAAAAGAUAAAUACAUCAAGUCCUGAUAGACAUCAACUAAUUCUUGAUAGAUCUUGACAGACAUUCACUAUAACUGAUAUACAUCAAUAUCAUAACAGGAGCAAAAUAAUUGUCUAUUCUUGAUAUGUUAAAAGUGACAAAUAAAAGUGAAAAUCUUAUCUUUUAAAUAAUGAACAAGUAACAUGAUAGAUGGAGUAAAUGACUUCUCCACAUCUACUUUAUAUAUUAUAAUAAAAACAUAUGAUUUUUUUACGAAUAUAUUAUUGGGUUCAUAGUAUAUGAAAGAAGUGUGAAUGAAAAACUGGAGAAUAAAAUGGUGGAGGGGAAGGAGACACUAAAAUGGAAAGUGUACUCCCAAAUUAGAAAGUUUACUCUUUCUCCCACAUUGGUGGAAGAAGAGAACUUGAAAGUUUUUUAUAAUCAAGAACACUUACUCCACAUGACAAGUGAGACAAGAAAUAAUAGAUGCCUCUCGCCAUUGUCGUCGUCGCUCGCUCGGCUCGACUUCGACUUCGGCUUCGGCUUCGGAUUUGGAUUUGGAUUUGGAUAAUGAUCGAUCGAUGAGAUCUAUCUUUUUGGACAAACUUCUGCAGUGUUUCAACAGUUGCACUGUUUCAAGUGAACUGAUGCAUUAUUUUCAAACUGGUGCUUCAAAAAUGAUAUUGUUCUGAACUGAUAAACUGAGGCUAUAGAAGGUUGGAACGGGUUCAAAAUGAUGCUUCAGUAGGAUGUAAUACUUCAAUGAAGUGACACACUGAUUCAUGAAAUGAGAUGACUGUUCAGGAAAAGAUGCAAUCUUUGAUGAACAGACAUGAACUUACAGCAAAGGUGUAACCUUUGGAGUGAACCAUUGCCUCUUUUCAGAAGAGGCAUGUUAUGGCUAUAUAAACCUGCUUUCAUCCACAGGUUUUGAUAUGAAAUUUCAGAAUAAAAAAUACUCUUCUUGUCUUCAAAAAUUCUGUGUAAUCAUUCAAACUGUUGAGUGUGUUCGACGAGUCUAAAUAUUUGAGGUACCGCUAUAUUUGGAUUGAAGGCCAUUUUAUCCUGGGAUGAAAAAUUCCAUAACCUCGGGUACAGUGAGGGGAAUUGUUUCCUUAAGGAAACUCCGUGAAUUCAGACGACUUGGCCUUAUUCAUUUCUGUUUCAUCUUGAUUUCUGAAAAUAAAAUACACUUCUAAGAAAGAUCACUUUGAUCCUUUGUUGAGGGUAUUUUUUGUACUUUAUUGAGUUCUUAUUUUAAACUUGAACUAGUUGAAGUUGUUUUUCUACAUACACAGAUUCUGCGUACCCGUAGAAAGAAAUAACAAUCUUAAGGAAACAAAUUUCAGAAUCUGUAUAGCUUGUUUUUGGAAAUUACAGUUUUAACUUUCUACUCUGCCUGAACUUAACUAGUAAUUUGAAGUCAUAAAAACUUCAUCACAAGUUAAAGAUCAUUCGGUUGACAAUUGGAAGUCAUAAAAACUUCAUUGUCAACUAGAAACAAGAAGAAAAGUUUAAAGUUGCUUAACUUUAUAAGUAGUAAUCUGAAAAUACUAAGUAUUUUUUAUCUUGUGGUGACAGGAAAAAUGACAAGCGAUAGUCAAAUGCAAGAUGCGGCAACGUCUGUGGGGACAACUAAUAUUGCCACUUCAAGUCGCACAAAUGCUCCGCCUACAAUGGAAUCGACGGAGAAGCCCGAAAAAUUUACGGGCAUUGACUUUAAACGAUGGUAGCAAAAGAUGUUUUACCUCACCACUCUGUGUAUGCAACGGUUCACUAGAGAAGACGCUCCUGACGUGCCCGAGGGAACCUCGGACAAAGGGCAUUUCAUAAUUGUAGAAGCUUGGAAACAUUCAGAUUUCCUUUGCAGGAAUUAUAUUCUGAGUGGUCUCCAAGAUGACCUCUACAAUGUUUACAGUGGAACUAAGACAUCGAAGAAAUUAUGGGGGGAACUUGAACGAAAAUAUAAAACAAAGGAUGUGGGAAUUAAGAAAUUCCUUGUUGCACGAUUCCUGGACUUUAAAAUGAUAGAUACGAAAUCGGUUGUCUCUCAAGUGCAGGAGUUGCAAGUCAUCAUAUAUGAUCUCCUAGCAGAAGGUAUAUGUGUGAAAAAUACCUUAGUUGAACAAAUUUAAAAAGUUCUUAAUACUCACAAAAAUUGUUUUUAGGUUUGAUUGUGAAUGAUGCAUUUCAAGUAGCAGCGAUAGUUGAGAAGCCACUACCUUUGUGGAAAGACUUCAAAAAUUACUUGAAGCAUAAACGCAAGGAGAUGACUGUUGAAGAUCUUAUUGUCUGACUAUUGAAGAUGAUAAUAAAGCUACUGAGAGAAGGUCAAAAGGGAAUUCUACAAUUAAUGGAGCCCAUAUUGUAGAAGAUGACCAAAACAAUUCUAAGAAAAGAAAAAAAGCUGAACGAGGAAGCAAUCAACCCAAGAAGAAAUUCAAGAAAAAAUGCUUCAAUUGUGACAAGAUUAGCCACAAGUCCACGGAUAACCCGAAGAAAGGCAAGAAAACGGAUCAAGCAAAUAUGAUUGAAUCCAACAAAGAAUGCGGUGAUUUAUGUUCUAUGUUCUCAGAAUACAACUUGGGGGGAAAUCCUCUUGAAUGGUGGAUGGAUUCAGGUUCCACCCACCAUGUAUGUACCAACAAAGAGUUGUUUUCGUCAUUCGCUCCAGAUCAAGUAGAAGAAAUGAUCUACAUGGCUAACUCCGCUAUUGCUAAGGUAGAAGGAGCAGGAGAAAUAUGUUAGAAAAUGACUUCAAGAAAGGUCUUAACACUUAACAAUGUCUUUUAUGUUCCGGAGUUACGUAGGAAUUUAAUUUCUGUUUCACUUCUAGACAAGAACGGAUUCAAAUGUGUAACCAUUUCUGAAAAAAUUGUAAUUAGCAAAGGAGAAAUGUAUGUGGAAAAAGUCUAUCUGACCGAAGGCCUUUAUAAGAUGAAUGUAAUGACUGUUGAAAUAAACAAAAGUUCAAAUUCUUAUUAUUUUCUUGAGUCUUAUGAUUUAUGGCAUGAACAUUUUGCCCAUGUUAAUUAUAAAAUGUUACGAAAAUUGAUUAACUUAGAAGUUUUACCAAACUUUGAGUGCACUAAAUCAAAGUGUCAAAUGUGUGUGGAAUCGAAGUAUGCACGGUAUCCUUAUAAGUCCGUUAAAAGGAAUUCCAAUCCCUUAGACUUAAUACAUACUGACAUUUGUGAUAUGAAGUCAACACCAUCACGUGGUGGGAAAAAGUAUUUCAUAACUUUUAUUGACGAUUACACGAGAUAUUGUUAUGUCUAUCUGCUAAAUAGUAAGGAUGAAGCAAUAGAUGCGUUUAGGCAAUAUAAAACUGAAGUUGAAAAUCAAUUAGACAAAAAGAUCAAAAUCAUAAAAAGUGAUAGGGGCGAAGAAUAUGAAUCUCCCUUUGCGUAAAUAUGUGUAGAGAAUGAAAUCAUCCAUCAAACUAUGGCCCCAUAUUCACCUCAAUCUAAUGGAAUUAUGGAAAGGAAAAACCAAACUUUGAAGGAAAUCAUGAAUGCCUUCCUUAUAAGUUCUGGAUUACCGCAAAACUUGUGGGGGGAGGAUAUCCUUACGUCUAACCGUAUACUCAAUAGAGUUCCCCAUAGUAAGAUACAAUCAAUUCCUUAUGAAAAGUGGAAAAUAAGAAAACCCAACUUGAAAUAUUUCAAAGUGUGGGGGUGUCUAGCAAAGGUCCAAGUUCCUGUGCCUAAAAGGGUUAAGAUAGGACCGAAGACGGUGGACUAUGUGUUCAUAGGAUAUGCUAAAAGCAGUAAGGCAUGUCGAUUUUUGGUUCAUAAAUCCAAACAUUUGGAUAUUAAUGAAAAUACGGUAAUUGAAUCAGACAAUGCUGAAUUCUUUGAAAACAUUUAUUUGUAUAAAACUAGAUAUGAACAGUCUAGUGGGGGGUCUAAACGACCUCGUGAUGAACCAAUUGAAAAUGAACAUAAUGAAUAAAAUCCAAGAUGUAAAACACGUCAAAGAACGUUUACUUCGUUUGGAGUGGAUUUUGUGACAGUUUUUUGGAAAAUGAGCCUCAAACAUUUAAGGAAGCAAUGGCAUCUUCGAAUUCAUCCUUUUGGAAAAAGGCAGUCAAUAGUGAGAUAGAUUCAAUCUUAAGCAACAAUACAUGGGAAUUGGUUGACCUUCCUCCCAGAAAUAAACCUUUAGGUUCCAAAUGGAUCUUCAAAAGAAAGAUGAAACUGGAUGGUACUAUUGAUAAAUACAAGGCAAGACUUGUAGUAGAAGGCUUCAAACAGAGAGAAGGCCUUGAUUACUUCGAUACAUACUUGCCAGUAACAAGGAUAACAUCGAUUCGAAUGUUAAUUGCCUUGGCUGCGGUAUAUGGCCUUGAGAUCCAUUAAAUGAAUGUGAAAACCGCUUUCCUAAAUGGAGAAUUGAAGGAAGAAAUAUACAUGGAACAACCUGAGGAUUUUGUGGUUCAUGGAACAACCUGAGUAUUUUGUGGUUCCAGGAAAGAAAAAUAAGGUGUGUAAUUUUAUUAAGUCAUUGUAUGGACUAAAGCAAGCACCUAAACAAUGGCAUACGAAGUUUGACCAAACUAUGUUGGCAAACAGAUUCAAAAUAAAUGAAUGUGAUAAAUGUGUUUAUAUUAAAGACAUUCCAAAUCACCAAGUCAUUAUUUGUUUAUAUGUGGAUGAUAUGUUAAUCAUCAGUAGAGACAUUUCUAACAUAAAUGCAACAAAAUGAAUGCUCGAGAGAAAGUUUGAUAUGAAAGACCUUGGAGUUGCGAAUGUGAUCUAAGGUAUAAGAAUCCAAAGAACUCCACAAAGGUUGGCAUUGUCACAGUCUCAUUAUGUCGAAAAGGUACUUGACAAAUUCAAGUAUAUGAAAUUCGGUAUUGCCAAGACUCAAUUGGAUGCGAGCUUUGCACUUCGAAAGAAUGAAGAUGAAAGUGACUUGCAAUUGGAGUAUGCAAGAGUAUUGGGAUGUUUAAUGUAUAUAACGAACUGUACACGACCAAACAUAGCAUGCGCUAUCAGUAAAUUGAGUUGGUACACGAUUAAUCCCAACAAAACUCAUUGGAUGGCAUUAAAAGAGUUUUGGGGUUUCUUAAAUACACUCAAGAUUAUGCUUUGCAUUAUAAUAAAUAUCCUGUGGUACUUGAAUGAUCUAGUGAUGCAAAUUGGAUCACCGGAUGAAACGAAGUAAAAUCCAUAAGUGGAUAUGUAUUUACUAUUGGUGGAGGAGCGGUCUCUUGAAAAUUAUCCAAACAGACUUGUAUUGCUCGCUCUACAAUGGAAUAUGAAUUUAUCGCAUUAGAUAAAGCCAGUGAAGAAGCAGAAUGACUCCACUAUUUCUUGGAAGAUAUUCCUUAUUGGCCCAAACCAGUGGAACCAGUAUGUAUACACUGUGCUAGCCAAGAGGCAAUAGGCAAGGCAGGGAGCAUGAUGUACAACGGUAAAUCUCGUCACGUACAACGGAGACAUAAUACCGUUAGAAAACUUCUCUCUAGUGGAAUUAUCACUAUUGACUAUGUAAAGUCAAAGUAUAAUAUGUCGGAUCCAUUUACAAAAGGCCUAUCUAGAGAAGGAGUGGAAAGAACAUCUAAGAGAAUGGGUUUAAGGCGUAGGAUGAGCCAGCAUGGAGGUUACUCUGCCUAGCAGACUGGAAAUUCCAAGAGCUAGGUUUAAGGAGAUCAAACAAAGUUGUGUCUGACAGGUUCAACAUUGUCAAUUACCCAACUCAUUCUCAUGAUGUAGACAAUGUUUAGUAAACAAGGAUACGACUUAAGGUGAAAAGUCUUUUAAUGCUUAUCUAAAUUUGGCAGAUUAGACCAAAUAGUUUAAUCUACAGGAUUGAAUGUUUAGAAAUCACCUAUGUGAGAGCGAAGUGGAAGCCUCUUCAAAGAGAAUGUUAGUAAAGGAUUAUUCUCCAAGCUCUCAUGAAACCGGGACGUGCUUAUUGCUGAAAAGAACAAAACCAUGAGAACCAUAAAUUGUAAAAGGCUGGUUGUGUGACAUAUAUUGUCUAGGUGUACAUUAAAGCUCGACGGUUCAAGGAUAUCAAAUCUACCGAUUGACCGAGUGCAUCCGAUGCAUGUUCACUACGGAAAGUUUAAAGGGAAACCCACUUAUCCAGAUGCAAUCAGUCUUUGCCUGAUGAUCACAUACUUGUCCGUAAAAUUUUUAUGAUAAAUAACCAUUCCCCAUUCAUGUGGGGGAUUGUUGGGUUCAUAGUAUAUGAAAGAAGUGUAAAUGGAAAAAUAGAGAAUAAAAUGGUAGAGGGGAAGAAGAUACUAAAAUGGAAAGUGUAAUCCUAAAUUAGAAAAUUUACUCUUUCUCCCACAUUGGUGGAAGAAGAGAACUUAAAAGUGUUUAUAAUCAAGAACACUUACACCACAUGGCAAGUGAGGCAAGAAAUAAUACAUGCCUCGUGCCGUCAUCGUCGUCGCUCGCUCGGCUCAGCUUUGGAUUUGGAUUUGGAUUUGGAUUUGGAUUUGGAUAUCGAUCGAUGAGAUCUAUCUUUUUGGACAAUCUUUAUUUGAAUUCUGAAGAAUGCUAAGGAAAAAUACUGUAAAAUUUUUCUGCAGUGUUUCGACAGUUGCACUAUUUCAAGUGAACUGAUGCAUUAUUUUUGAACUGGUGCUUCAGAAAUGAUACAUUAUUUUGAACUGGGGCUACAGAAGGUUGCAAUGGUUCGAAAUGAUGCUUCAAAAGGAUGUAAUCCUUCAAUAAAGUGAGGUGUUACCUUUGGAGUGAACCAUUGCCUCUUUUCAGAAGAGACAUGUUAUGGCUAUAUAAACCUGCUUUCAUCCACAGGUUUUGAUACAAAAUUUCAGAAUAAAAAAACCUCUUCUUGUCUUCAAAAAUUCUGUGUGAUCAUUCAAACUGUUGAGUGCAUUCGAUGAUUCCAAAUAUUUGAGGUACCGCUAUAUUUGGAUUGAAGGCCAUUUUAUCCUGGGAGAAAAAAUUUCAUAAAAAAAUUCAUAACCUCGGGUACAGUGAGGGGAAUUAUUUACUUAAGGAAACUCUGUGAAUUCAGAUGACUUGGCCUUAUUCAUUUCUGUUUCAUCUUGAUUUCUGAAAAUAAAAUACACUUCUAAGAAAGAUCACUUUGAUCUUGUGUUGCGCAUAUUUUUUGUACUUCAUUGAGUUCUUGUUUUAAACUUGAACUAGUUGAAGUUGUCGUUCUACAUAUACAGAUUCUGCGUACCCGUAGAAGGAAAUAACAUAUAUAUAUCAUCAUUUAGUAUAAAGAAACAAAUUAAACGUGGAUGGUUCACAUAAAUUAGAGCAUAACAAUUAAUCUUGUCUAUAAAUAGAAGAGGUUAGAAAGAAGGAUACACAAAUCAUUAAAACAAAUUAAUAUCCCUCAAGAUGAAGACCAUAUUACUCUUUCUUUUCCUUGAAAUAGUAUUCCUUCCCUUGUCAGGCUUGGCAACUCCCAACAACCAAGUAUUGAUAGAUGUACUCGAUAUUAAUGGUAAUCCCCUCAACAAAAGCAAUAGGUACUGGAUAACUCCGGCCUACACCACUAUGGACGAUGGAGGCAUACGUGUUGCUAAUCUUGGUAGUGAUCUACAACAAAUCACUAUGUGUCCUACAUCAGUAGUACAAUCUCACCUUCCUACAGACGAUGGUAUCGUAGUUUAUUUUACACCUAAGAAUCCAAAACAUCAAACGAUUGUGGAGUCCACUCCGGUAAAUAUCCAUUUCUAUUUUGAUUAUCCUUUGUGUUCUAACCUAAAUGCGUGGAAGGUUGACAAUCUUGUAUCAGAAUUUCUGCCAAUUCUACACACCAUAAGCACAGGUGCAAAGGAUGAGAGCAGUUGGUUCCAAAUUAAGCAUACAACAAAUAGAAAGUAUAAGCUAGUGUUUUGUCUCUUUGACACUUAUUGCCAAGACAUUGGCAUCGUCUCACAAAGUGGUUAUCAUCGUUUGGUUCUCUCGGACAACCCAAAGCCUUUUUGCUCAAACUGGAUGAUAGAAUUGGAAUGGCAGCAGAAGUAUGAUCUUGUCAUGUUAUGCCUAGAUCUACUCUACGUAAUGUAUAAUAAUAAUGCAUGUAGGUACUUUAUCCUGUUGCAUGGAUGUAAAACUUGAUAAUAAUGUAAUAGGGGUCUGUCUAUGUGCCCCUUAUAUAUGAUCACAUGAUAUAUAUUAUGUAUUGAUAAGGAUAUCAUUAAAGACUGUGGUUCAUUCCUUGAGAAGUCUCUUUAGACCUCUAUGAUUUCAAAGAAUUAAUUAAGGCACAUAAGAAUAAGUACAGAGCCUGGAUCAAUAAACAUCGUAGAUGCUCAAUGACCAAUUGGGACAAUACACGCAAUGACCUGUUCGACAACUAACUAUGAAAAUCAUGUAGUCAUAUAUACCAUCACUUUUUUCAAGAUACUAUUAUUUCUAUAUUAAAAGUCGCUGUGAUUAAACAUUAGUACUAAAUAACUAUUCUCAGUUGUCAAUUUGGAAUAAAACAUCACUUACUUCUUCCCAUUUUGGCCAGUCAUUUUUUGGUCGACAUUCUGUGACAGAUUGAUGUUCAUGAUCCCCACUAUCUUGUAAGAUUUUCGCUGCAACAUUAUAUGCAAAGACAUAAUCUACUACUAUUUCAGAUCUAUUCAAAUUAGUUUCAACAUCACUUGAAUUUAUGGAUAGUUUCUCAUUUUCUUGAGUCUCAGGCUCAUUAAUUCCUUCAGGACUAUCAACAUUGCUCAAAUCUUGAACUUCCAUAUGAGGAUCUUUCAUAGUGUCAUCUUGACCAUUUGUUUUUAUUUUUCUAGGAUUUCGAUCCUUAGAACCUAAUGGUACACCAGGCUUCAAGCGCGCUUUAGAUUCAUUAGCUAUGACACUAGUGGAUGGUCCUUUAGGGACAUCAAUUCAAAUUGAGAAAUAUUCUGAAGGAAUAUGUGAUUUAGCGAUCCUUUUCAAAUCUGUAAAUGCGUCUGGCAUUUGAUUUGCAAUUUUCUACAGAUGAAUAAUCUUUUGUACUUCUUGUCCACAAAUAGAAGCACGUGAAUCAAGUUGAGAUAGUGAUGGAUUUUUUCACAAAAUUUCUCUUUUGAUGUCAUUAUUUUCUCCCCCCAAUUUUGGAAAAACUAUUUCAUCAAAUCGACAAUCUGCAAAUCGAGCCGUGAACAUAUCUCCCGUUAAUGGUUUAAGAUAGUGAAUAAUGGAGGGUGAUUCAAACCCAACAUAAGUUUCUAACCUUCUUUGGAGGCCCAUUUUGGUGUGAUUUAGUUAUUUUAUAGGCGCAUAUACACCGUAUCCAAAAAUUCUCUGAUGAGAUAUAUUAGGCUCUUGACCAAAAAUCAAUUACAACGUAGAAAAUUUAUGAUAAUUUAUCGGUCUAAGACGAACAAGUGUUGCAACAUGCAAAAUUGCACGACCCUAAACAAAGUGGACAACUUAGUUUUCAUAAGCAAUGGUCUUGCUAUCAACUGCAGACGUUUAAUUAAUGACUCGACAAGGCCAUUUUGAGUGUGAACAUGGGGUAUAGAAUGUUCAAGUCUUAUUCCAAUCGAUAAACAAUAGUCAUUAAAUGCUUGAAAUGAAAAUUCUGUGGCAUUAUCAAGGCGAAUAGACUUAAUUUGAUUAUGAGGAAACUGUGCCCGUAAUCGUAUUAUUUGUGCCAAUAAUUUUACAAAUGCCAAGUUGUGAGAUGACAAUAAGCACACAUGAGACCAUUUAGAAAAAGCAUUUAUUAGGACCAUAAAGUAUCUAAACGACCCACUAGGUGGGUGAAUGGGUCCAUAAAUAUCCCCAUGUAUGCGUUCCAAGAAUGCGGGGGAUUCAAUCCCAACUUUUGUUGGCGAUGGACUCACAAUAAUCUUGCCUUGAUAAUAAGCAUUACACGAAAAUUCACCAUUCAAAUUAACCUUCAAGUUCUUUAAUGGAUGCCCAUUUAAAUUUUCUAUGAUUUGUCUCAUCAUUAUAGAUCCAGGAUGUCCCAGAUGAUCAUGCCAAAGUACGAGAGUAUUGGAAUUAGUAAACUUCUUGUUUACUAUAGAAUGUGCCUCAAUUGCACAAAUCUUUAGCCAAUAUAGGUCAGAAGAUAAAGCAGGGAACUUUUCUAUAACACAUGUCUGCCAAGAGACAUUCUUGGUGAUACAAAGAUAUUCAAGAUUGAUUUCAUCAAUUGUCUUGAUAUGAUAACCAUUUUCAUGGAUAUCUUUAAAAUCCAUUAAGUUUCUCCGAGACUUAGGAGAAAACAUAACAUUAUUUAUGAUGAGUUUAGCUCCCUUGGGCAUGAUUAUAAUGGCUUUUCCGAAGAAUUCAAUCAAAUUAGCACUACCAAAAAUUGUAGUAAUAUUAAUCUUGACCAUGUUUAGAUGAGAGAAAUAUUUUUCGUCUUUGAAUAACGUAUGUGUAGUGCCAGAAUCAAUCAAACAAAUAUCUUCACAAUUAGACAGCUUACUUUGAAAAUUAUCCGUAUCUUCAAGUACAAUAACAUAUAUCAAGUUAAAUAUAUAUUAAAUCUUUGUACAAAGAUAAAGAUUAUACUAUAAGAAAUUGUUAAUCACACUUUACUAAGUAAUUAAAAAGAAUAUGUCCAAUUAGUGUGUGCUUAGCUUAGCUUAACAUUUUAUUUUUCAAUAGAAAGAAGAAAAAAAUGCAUUGUAUUUUUCAAUAAUUAAAAAAAAAAAGAAUAAAAACACGUAUCCAUGGAGCCAACAAUCAAUUCACUAAUAAAUAAUAAUAACUUGCAUGGGCCACCAAUCAAGUCUCUUUUUUUUUUCUUUUUUUUUUUUCCUUUUGUAGCGCCUUUCAUUUGCUUUACUUAAUGUAUCGUCCAAUCAAUCUUUUUCUUUUUCUUUUUUCUUUUGCAGGACCUACCAUUGGCUUUAAAUAAUGUAUCAUUUUUUCCUUUCUUUUUUGUCAAUAAAUAAUGAAAAAAUUGAAAUCCAAUUUAAUGCAAUAAUAAACCACAAUAAUAAAAUUAAACUAAUUAAUAUUAAUCAAAACCUAAUACUCAUGCAAACAACUACUUUUACAUGAUUUUUAUUCACUAACUCUUAUUAACAGUAAAAAAAAUAAAUUAAAAAUUAUUCAUUCUUCCAUGUUUACGAAACUGUCACCAAUCAAGUGAUCAAUUUCUUUCUACAUCCAACCAUAUGAUGUCAACAUUAUUUUCAGUGAAAAAGUUAGCUCGAAAUUUCUUUCUUUCUUCUUUAGUGAUGCUAGAUAAAGAUCAACCAAGUGCUUGAGAGCACGACAAUCACGUGAAUAAUGUCCUUUUUCACCACAUCGAAAACAAUAAUUUCUUCACGCUUCUCAUCUUUUUUAUUUUUGUUCAAGGAAUGAUUAACACCCAGAAUUGAAUUUCUUUCUUGGUCAUCACGACCACGGCCACAACCACGACUAUAUCCAGGGCCGCGACCUUUUCCACGCCUAGCGUGGUAAGCAUGCAUAUCAUUCACCUCAGGGAAUGGUGCAGAUACAGUAGGUGGAUUCUCGAAAUUUUUCGUCAAAAAAUCAUUAUUUUGUUCAUCAACGAGAAGAUGAGAACUCAGUUCAGUAUAUUUCUUGAAACCUUUUUCUCGAUAUUGCUUCUAUGAUAGUAUUUUCGAGGCAUGAAAGUGGAGAGCGUCUUUUCCAUCAUAUCGUCAUCAUUGACCGUCCCUUCACAUAGUUUCGAUUAAGAAGAAAUUCUGAACAUGACAGAAAUGUACUUAUGAAUAGACUUAUAGUCUUGAAACCUUAGAUUCAUUCAUUCAUAUUGUGAUUUUGGGAGGAUGACCAUAUUUAAGUGGUCAAACCUUUCUUUUAGGAUGUUCCACAAUACGAGUGGAUCCUUAGUAGUAAGGUAUUCAAUUUUCAAAAUUUCAUCAAGAUGAUGAUGGAACAAAAUCAUAGCGUUAGCACGAUUUUGAUUAGAUGCUGUAAUUUCUUUUUUUAUGGUGUCUCCAAGACCCAUAGCAUCUAGGGGGCUAUCAGCAUCCAGCAUUCAUAAAAUAUAGUUCUUGCUCGAACUUUGAAGUGCAACGAACUCAUACUUAGUAAGAUUAUUAUACAUACGAAAAAGGGAAGAAAAAUAAUACCUUAGCCUUUAAAUUUGAGACGGUGGAGUCUUGUGCUGAUAACAUGUUAUAAAAUAAUAAAGAAUAAAGAACAAGAGUAUAGAGAGAAGAGAGAGUAAUUGUUAUUUCUCUUGAGGAUGAUUUACAAUGAAGGAAUUCCUUCUAUUUAUAGGGGAAAUUUGCUUCAAUUUUCACACUAAAAAGACAAAUACGUCAAAUCCUGAUAGACAUCAACUAAUUCUUGAUAGAUCUUGAUAGACAUUCACUAUAACUGAUAUUCAUCAAUAUCAUAACAAGAGCAAAAUAAUUGUCUAUUCUUGAUAUGUUAAAAGUGACAAAUAAAAGUGAAAAUCUUAUCUUUUAAUUAAUGAACAAGUAACAUGACCGAUGGAGUAAAUGACUUCUCCACAUCUACUUUAUAUAUUAUAGUAAAAACAUAUGAUUUUUUUACGAAUAUAUUAUUGGGUUCAUAGUAUAUGAAAGAAGUGUGAAUGAAAAAACGGAGAAUAAAAUGAUGGAGGGGAAAGAGACACUAAAAUGGAAAGUGUACUCCCAAAUUAGAAAGUUUACUCUUUCUCCCACAUUGGUGGAAGAAGAGAACUUGAAAGUGUUUAUAAUCAAGAACACUCACUCCACAUGGGAAGUGAGGCAAGAAAUAAUAGAUGUCUCACGCCCUCAUUGUCGUUACUCGCUCGGCUCGGCUUCGACUUCGGCUUCGGAUUUGGAUUUGGAUAGUGAUCGAUCGAUGAGAUCUAUCUUUUUAGACAAAUUUCUGUAGUGUUUUGACAGUUGCACUGUUUUGAAGUGAACUGAUGCAUUGUUUUCGAACUGGUGCUUCAAAAAUGAUACAUUUUUUUGAACUGAUGAACUGAGGCUACAGAAGGUUGCAAUGGGUUCGAAAUAAUGUUUCAGUAGGAUGUAAUCCUUCAAUGAAGUGACACACUAAUUCAUGAAAUGAGAUGACUGUUCAGGAAAAGAUGCAUUCUUUAAUGAACAGACAUGAACUUACAGCAAAGGUGUAACCUUUGGAGUGAACUCUUUUCACAGAGGAAUGUUAUGGCUAUAUAAACUUGCUUUCAUUCACAGGUUUUGAUACGAAAUUUCAGAAUAAAAAAUACUCUUCUUGUCUUUAAAAAUUGUGUGAUCAUUCAAACUGUUGAGUGCGUUCGACGUGUCUAAAUAUUUGAGGUACCGCUAUAUUUGGAUUGAAGGCCAUUUUAUCCUGGGAGGAAAAAUUCCAUAACCUCGGGUACACUGAGAGGAAUUGUUUCCUUAAUGAAACUCCAUGAAUUCGGACGACUUAGCCUUAUUCAUUUCUGUUUCAUCUUGAUUUCUGAAAAUAAAAUAUACUUCUAAGAAAGAUCACUUUGAUCUUGUGUUGAGGGUAUUCUACAUAUACAGAUUAUGCGUACCGGUAGAAGGAAAUAACAAUCUUAAGGAAACAACUUUCAGAAUCUGUAUAGCUUGUUUUUGGAGAUCAAAGUUUUAACUUUCUACUCCGCCUGAACUUAACUAAUAAUUUGAAGUCAUAAAAAUUUCAUUACAAGUUAAAGAUCAUCCGGUUGACAAUUGGAAGUCAUAAAAACUUCAUUGUCAACUAGAAACAAGAAGAAAAGUUUAAAGUUGCUUAACUUUAUAAGUAGUCAUCUGAAAAUACUAAGUAUUUUUUGUCUUGUGGUGACAGGAAAAAUGACAAGCGAUAGUCAAAUGCAAGAUGCGGCAACGUCUGUGGGGUUAACUAAUAUUGUCACAUCAAGUCGCACAAAUGCUCCGCCUACAAUGGCACCAGCGGAAAAGCCUGGAAAAUUUAUGGGCAUUGACUUUAAAUGAUGACAAUAAAAGAUGUUCUUUUAGCUCACCACUCUGUGUAUGCAACGGUUCACUAGUGAAGACGCUCUUGAGGUGCCCGAGGGAACCUCGGACAAAGAGCGUUUUGUAAUUGUAGAAACUUGGAAACAUUCAGACUUCUUUUAUAGGAAUUAUAUUCUGAGUGGUCUCCAAAACGACCUCUACAAUGUCUACAGUGGAACAAAGACAUCGAAGAAAUUGUGGGGUGCACUUGAACAAAAAUAUAAAACAGAGGAUACAGGAAUUAAGAAAUUCCUUGUUGCACGGUUCCUGAACUUUAAAAUGAUAGAUAGCAAAUCGGUUGUCUCUCAAGUGCAGGAGUUGCAAGUCAUCAUACAUGAUCUCCUAGCAGAAGGUAUAUCUUUAAAAAAUACCUUAGUUGAACAAAUUUAAAAAGUUCUUAAUACUCACAAAAACUGUUUUGUAGGUUUUAUUGUGAAUGAUGCAUUUCAAGUAGCAGCGAUAAUUGAGAAGCUACCACCUUUUUGGAAAGACUUCAAAAACUACUUGAAGCAUAAACGCAAGAAGAUGAUUGUCGAAGAUCUUACUAUCCGAUUGCGUAUUAAAAAGGACAAUAAAGCUGCCGAGAGAUGGUCAAAAGGGAAUUCUACAAUUAAUGGAACCCAUAUUGUAGAAGAUGACCAAAACAAUUCUAAGAAAAGAAAGAAAGCUGAACAAGGAAGCAAUCAACCCAAGAAGAAAUUCAAGGAAAAAUGCUUCAAUUGUGGCAAGAUGGACCACAAGUCCAUGGAUUGUCGUGCCCCGAAGAAAUGUAAGAAAAAGGAUCAAGCAAAUAUGAUUGAAUCCAACAAAAAAUGCGAUGAUUUGUGUGCUAUGUUCUCAGAAUGCAACUUGGGGGGAAAUCCUCUUCAAUGGUGGAUGGAUUCUGGUGCCACCCGCCAUGUAUGUGCCAACAAAGAGUUGUUUUCAUCAUUCUCUCCGGCUCAAGUAGAAGAAAUGAUCUACAUGGCUAACUUCGCUACGGCUAAGGUAGAAGGCACAGGAAAAAUAUGUUAGAAAAUGACUUCAAGAAAGGUCUUGACACUUAACAAUGUCUUGUAUGUUUCGGAGUUACGUAGGAAUUUAAUUACUGUUUCACUACUAGACAAGAACGGAUUCAAAUGUGCAACCAUUUUUGAAAAAAUUGUAAUUAGCAAAGGAGAAAUGUAUGUGGAAAAAGGCUAUCUGAUCGAAGGCCUUUAUAAGAUGAAUGUAAUGACUGUUGAAAUAAACAAGUUCAAAUUCUUCUUAUUUGUUUGAGUCUUAUGAUUUAUGGAAUGAACGUUUUGGCCAUGUUAAUUAUAAAACGUUACAAAAAUUAAUUAACUUAGAAGUUUUACCAAACUUUGAGUGCACUAAAUUAAAGUGUCAAAUAUGUGUGGAAUCGAAGUAUGGAAGGCAUCCUUAUAAGUCCGUUGAAGGGAAUUCCAAUCCCUUAGACUUAAUACACACUGACAUUUGUGAUAUGAAGUUAACACCAUCACGUGGUGGGGAAAAGUAUUUCAUAACUUUUAUUGAUGAUUGCACGAGAUAUUGUUAUGUCUAUCUGCUAAAUAGUAAGGAUGAAGCAAUAGAUGCGUUUAGGCAAUAUAAAACCAAAGUUGAAAAUCAAUUAGACAAAAGGAUCAAAAUCAUAAAAAGUGAUAGGGGUGAAGAAUAUGAAUCUCCCUUUGCGAAAAUAUGUGUAGAGAAUGGAAUCAUCCAUCAAACUACGGACCCAUAUUCACCUCAAUCUAAUGGAAUUGCAGAAAGGAAAAACCAAACUUUGAAGAAAAUGAUGAAUGCCUUACUUAUAAGUUCUAGAUUACCGCAAAACUUGUGGGGGGAGGCUAUCCUUACGGCCAACCUUAUACUCAAUAGAGUUCCCCAUAGUAAGACACAAUCAAUUCCUUAUGAAAAGUGGAAAGGAAGAAAACCCAACUUGAAAUAUUUCAAAGUGUGGGGGUGUCUAGCAAAGGUCCAAGUUCCUGUGCCUAAAAGGGUUAAGAUAGGACCUAAGACGAUAGAUUGUGUGUUCAUAGGAUAUGCUAAAAGAAGUAAGGCAUGUCGAUUUUUGAUUCAUAAAUUCAAACAUCCGGAUAUUAAUGAAAAAACUGUAAUUGAAUCAGACAAUGCUGAAUUCUUUGAAAACAUUUAUCCGUAUAAAACUAGACAUGAACAGCCUAGUGGGGGAUCUAAAUGACCUCGUGAUGAACCAAUUAAGAAUGAACAUAAUGAAUAAAAUCCAAGACGUAGUAUACGUCAAAGAAGUUUACUUCGUUUGGAUUGGAUUUUGUGAUAUUUUUUUUGGAAAAUGAGCCUCAAACAUUUAAGGAAGCGAUGGAAUCUUCGGAUUCAUCCUUUUGGAAAGAGGCAGUCAAUAGUGAGAUAGAUUCAAUCUUAAGAAACCAUAUAUGGGAAUUGGUUGACCUUCCUCCCGGAAAUAAACCUUUAGGUUCCAAAUGGAUCUUCAAAAGAAAGAUAAAAUUGGAUGGUACUAUUGAUAAAUACAAGGCAAGACUUGUAGUAGAAGGCUUCAAACAGAAAGAAGGCCUUGAUUACUUUGAUACAUACUUGCCAGUAACAAGGAUAACAUCGAUUCGAAUGUUAAUUACCUUGGCUGCGGUAUAUGGCCUUGAGAUCCAUCAAAUGGAUGUGAAAACCGCUUUCCUAAAUGGAGAAUUGAAGGAAGAAAUAUACAUGAAACUGCCUAUGGGUUUUGUAUUUUUCCAAGUUCCUGUGCCUAAAAGGGUUAAGAUAGGACCUAAGACGAUAGAUUGUGUGUUCAUAGGAUAUGCUAAAAGAAGUAAGGCAUGUCGAUUUUUGAUUCAUAAAUUCAAACAUCCGGAUAUUAAUGAAAAAACUGUAAUUGAAUCAGACAAUGCUGAAUUCUUUGAAAACAUUUAUCCGUAUAAAACUAGACAUGAACAGCCUAGUGGGGGAUCUAAAUGACCUCGUGAUGAACCAAUUAAGAAUGAACAUAAUGAAUAAAAUCCAAGACGUAGUAUACGUCAAAGAAGUUUACUUCGUUUGGAUUGGAUUUUGUGAUAUUUUUUUUGGAAAAUGAGCCUCAAACAUUUAAGGAAGCGAUGGAAUCUUCGGAUUCAUCCUUUUGGAAAGAGGCAGUCAAUAGUGAGAUAGAUUCAAUCUUAAGAAACCAUAUAUGGGAAUUGGUUGACCUUCCUCCCGGAAAUAAACCUUUAGGUUCCAAAUGGAUCUUCAAAAGAAAGAUAAAAUUGGAUGGUACUAUUGAUAAAUACAAGGCAAGACUUGUAGUAGAAGGCUUCAAACAGAAAGAAGGCCUUGAUUACUUUGAUACAUACUUGCCAGUAACAAGGAUAACAUCGAUUCGAAUGUUAAUUACCUUGGCUGCGGUAUAUGGCCUUGAGAUCCAUCAAAUGGAUGUGAAAACCGCUUUCCUAAAUGGAGAAUUGAAGGAAGAAAUAUACAUGAAACUGCCUAUGGGUUUUGUAUUUUCAGGAAAGAAAAACAAGGUGUGUAAACUUAUUAAGUCAUUGUAUGGACUAAAGCAAGCACCUAAAAAAUGGCAUGCAAAGUUUUACCAAACCAUGUUGGCAAACGGAUUCAAAAUAAAUGAAUGUGAUAAAUGUAUUUAUAUUAAAUACAUUCCAAAUCACCAAGUCAUUAUUUGUUUAUAUGUGGAUGAUAUGUUAAUCAUCAGUAGAGACAUUUCGAACAUAAAUGCUACAAAAUGAAUGCCCGAGAGCAAGUUUGAUAUGAAAGACCUUGGAGUUACGGAUGUGAUCUUAGGUAUAAGAAUCCAUAGAACUCCACAAGGGUUGGCAUUGUCACAGUCUCAUUAUAUUGAAAAGGUACUUGACAAAUUAAAGUAUAUGAAAUUUGGUAUUGCUAAGACUCAAUUGGAUGCGAGCUUUGCACUUCGAAAGAAUGAAGGUGAAAGUGACUCAUAAUUGGAGUAUGCAAGAGUAUUGGGAUGUUUAAUAUAUAUAACGAACUGUACAUGACCAGACAAAGCAUGCGCUAUCAGUAAAUUGAGUUGGUACACGAGUAGUCCCAACAAAACUAAUUGGAUGGCAUUGAAAAGAGUUUUGGGGUUUCUUGAAUACACUCAAGAUUAUACUUUGAAUUAUAAUAAAUAUCCCGCAGUACUUGAAGGAUCUAGUGCUGCAAAUUGGAUCACUGGAUCGACCGAAGUAAAAUCCACAAGUGAAUAUGUAUUUACUAUCGGUGGAGGAGCGGUCUCUUGGAAAUUAUCCAAACAGACUUGUAUUGCUCGCUCUACAAUGGAAUCUAAAUUUAUCACAUUAGAUAAAGUCAGUGAAGAAGCAGAAUGGCUCCGGAAUUUCUUGGAAGAUAUUCCUUAUUGGCCCAAACCAGUGGCACCAGUAUGUAUACACUAUGAUAGCCAAGCGACAAUAGGCAAGGCAGGGAGCAUGAUGUACAACGGUAAACCUCGUCACAUACGAUAGAGACAUAAUACCAUUAGGGAACUUCCCUCUAGUGGAAUUAUCACUAUUGACUAUGUAAAGUCAAAGGAUAAUGUGUCGGAUCCACUUAUAAAAGGUCUAUCUAGAAAAGGAGUGGAAAGAACAUCCAAGGGAAUGGGUUUAAGGCCUAGGAUGAGUCAGCAUGGCGGUAGGUCUACCUAGCAGACUGGAGAUCCCAAGAGAUAGGUUUAAGGAGAUCAAACAAAGUUAUGUCUGACAGGUUCAACAUUAUCAAUUACCCAACUCAUUCUCAUGAUGUACAAAAUGUUUAGUAAACAAGGAUAAGACUUAAGGUGAAAAGUCUUUUAAUGAUUAUCUAAAUUUGGCAGAUUAGACCAAAUAGUUUAAUCUACAGGAUUGAACAUUUAGAAAUCACCUAUGUGAGAGCGAAGUGGAAGCCGCUUCAAAGAGAAUGUUAGUAAAGGCGUAUUCUCUUAGCUCUCAUGAAACUGGGACGUGUUCAUGGCUGAAAAGAACAAAACCGUAAGAACCAUAAAUGGUAAAAGGUUGGUUGUGUGACAUGUUUACUCUUUCUCCCACAUUGGUGGAAGAAGAGAACUUAAAAGUGUUUAUAAUCAAGAACACUUACUCCACAUGGCAAGUGAGGCAAGAAAUAAUAGAUGCCUCGCAUCGUCGUCGUCGUAGCUCGCUCGCUCGGCUCGGCUUCGGAUUUGGAUUUGGAUAAUGAUCGAUGAGAUCUAUCUUUUGGACAAUCUUUAUUUGAAUUUCGAAGAAUGCCAAGGAAAAAUGCUGUAAAAUUUUUCUGCAGUGUUUCGAUAGUUUCACUGUUUCAAGUGAACUGAUUCAUUAUUUUUGAAUUGGUGCUUCAGAAAUGAUACAUUGUUAUGAACUGAGGCUACAGAAGGUUGCAAUGGUUUGAAAUGAUGAUUCAGAAGAAUAUAAUGCUUCAACGAAGUGAAACACUGAUUCAUGAAAUGAGAUGACUGUUCAGGAAAAGAUGCAAUCUUUGAUGAACAGACAUGAACUUACAGCAAAGGUGUAACCUUUGGAGUGAACCAUUGCCUCUUUUCAGAAGAGGCAUGUUAUGGCUAUAUAAACUUGCUUUCAUCCACAGGUUUUGAUACGAAAUUUCUGAAUAAAAAAUACUCUUCUUGUCUUCAAAAAUUUUGUGUGAUCAUUUAAACUGGUGAGUGCGUUUGAUGAGUCCAAAUAUUUGAGAUACCGCUAUAUUUGGAUUGAAGGUCAUUUUAUCCUGGGAGGAAAAAUUUCAUAAACUCGGGUACAGUGAGGGGAAUUGUUUCCUUAAGGAAACUCCGUGAAUUCGGACGACUUGGCCUUAUUCAUUUCUGUUUCAUCUUGAUUUUUGAAAAUAAAAUACACCUCUAAGAAAGAUCACUUUGAUCUUAUGUUGAGGGUAUUUUUUGUACUUCAUUGAGUUCUUGGUUUAAACUUGAACUAGUUGAAGUUAUCGUUCUACAUAUACAGAUUCUGCGUACCUGUAGAAGGAAAUAACAUAUAUAUCAUCAUUUAGUAUAAAAAACAAAUUAAAUGUGGAUGGUUCACAUAAAUUAGAGCAUAACAAUUAAUCUUGUCUAUAAAUAUAAGAGGUUAGCAAUAUGGAUACACAAAUCAUCAAAACAAAUUAACAUCCCUAAAGAUGAAGACCAUAUUACUCUUUCUUUUCCUUGAAAUAAUAUUCCUUCCCUUGUCAGCCUUGGCAACUCCCAACAACCAAGUAUUGAUAGAUGUACUCGAUACUAAUGGUAAUCCCCUCAACAAAAGCAAUAGGUACUGGAUAACUCUGGCCUACACCGCUAUGGACGGUGGAGGCAUACGUGUUGCUAAUCUUGGUAGUGAUCUACAACAAACCACUAUGUGUCCUACAUCAAUAGUACAAUCUCACCUUCCUACAGACGAUGGUAUCGCAGUUUAUUUUAUACCUAAGAAUCCAAAACAUCAAAAGAUUGUGGAGUCCACUCCGAUAAACAUCCAUUUCUAUUUUGAUUAUCCG